AUGUUAAACAGCACUCUUCUCCGAAGGAUCUAGAAUCCAUUUCCACUUCCUGUAUUUAAACGAUUUGUACAAAAGGACAAAUUUUACCAGCGGUCACCGGGUCUCCCAACCGUCAUUGCGCCCCACAGCCCCCGAAGCGGGGGGGAGGCAGGCAGGCCGUGGCUUAGACGAGGAGGCUGCCCUUCGCCUUAUUUCUCCAUCAGAGAGGAUGCCUACACCGGAACCCACUUCCUCUUUCCUCUCAUUUUAAGCCGCUUUAAGCUCCGUUUUAACCCACCCUCUCAGAAGGAAAUCUUUAACAGAAAGCCUAGAGGCCCGGGGAACCCGGCAUCCCGCCCCAGACUCGCCAGCUCACGCGGCCCUCGGCCCCGCCCGCGCCAGCGCGCCGCCCGCGCGCCCCGCCCUGCCCACGCUCUCUCGCUGCUCCUCGCUGGCUGGGCCGGGCGGAUGCCUGGCGCACCGGGCCCGCCGGGGAGGGCCACGCCGGGCCAAGCCGGAGCGGGGGUAGCGGAGGGCGGGCCGGGGCCGCGGCCGGGCUCCAUCUGGGUGCGGGGCCGGGGCCGAACGCUCGGCCCGCCAUGGAGGUGGAGGAGGCGUUCCAGGCGGUGGGCGAGAUGGGCAUCUACCAGAUGUACCUGUGCUUCCUGCUGGCCGUGCUGCUGCAGCUCUACGUGGCCACGGAAGCCAUCCUCAUUGCGCUGGUCGGGGCCACACCGUCGUACCACUGGGACCUGGCCGAGCUCCUGCCCAACCAGAGCCACAGCAACCAGUCGGCUGGCGAAGACCAGGCCCUCAGGGCCUGGCUCCUGACGGCCAACGGCAGCGAGAUGCACAAGCAUGUGCACUUCAGUAGCAGCUUUACCUCCAUCGCCUCCGAGUGGUUUUUAAUUGCCAACAGAUCUUACAAAGUGAGUGCAGCAAGCUCUUUUUUCUUCAGUGGUGUGUUUGUGGGAGUUAUCACUUUUGGUCAACUCUCUGAUCGCUUUGGAAGGAAAAAAGUCUAUCUCACAGGUUUUGCUCUUGACAUCUUGUUUGCUAUCGCAAAUGGCUUUUCCCCCUCAUAUGAGUUCUUUGCAGUAACUCGCUUCCUGGUGGGCAUGAUGAAUGGAGGGAUGUCGCUCGUGGCCUUUGUCCUGCUGAAUGAAUGUGUGGGCACCGCCUACUGGGCACUCGCAGGGUCAAUUGGUGGCCUCUUCUUCGCAGUCGGCAUUGCCCAAUAUGCCCUGUUGGGAUACUUCAUCCGUUCCUGGAGGACCCUAGCCAUACUGGUUAACCUGCAGGGAACCGUGGUCUUUCUCUUGUCUUUAUCCAUUCCUGAAUCCCCUCGUUGGUUAUACUCCCAGGGUCGGCUGCGUGAGGCUGAAGCCGCUCUGCGCCUCAUCGCCAAGAGGAACCGGCAGCUCAGGUGCAGCUUCUCGCUGGCGCGCCCGGCAGGCGGGAGCUGCGAGGAGGCCGGCAGCGUCCUGGACCUCUUCCGUCGCCGGGUGCUCCUGGGGCACACGCUGACCCUGAUGUUCAUCUGGUUCGUGUGCAGCUUGGUGUAUUAUGGCCUCACUCUGAGUGCAGGUGAUCUAGGUGGAAACAUUUAUGCCAACUUAGCCCUGUCUGGCCUCAUAGAGAUUCCAUCUUACCCUGUCUGCAUCUACUUGAUUAACCAAAGAUGGUUUGGUCGGAAGCGGACGUUGGCAGCAUUUCUGUGCCUCGGAGGACUGGCUUGUCUUAUUGUCAUGUUUCUUCCAGAAAAGAAAGACACAGGUGUGUUUGCAGUGGUGAACAGCCAUUCCUUGUCCCUGCUGGGAAAGCUGGCCAUCAGCGCUGCCUUCAACAUUGUGUACAUCUACACCUCGGAGCUAUACCCCACAGUCAUCAGGAAUGUUGGGCUUGGAACUUGCUCCAUGUUCUCCCGAGUUGGUGGGAUCAUUGCUCCCUUCAUCCCCUCACUGGUUGAAGUAUGUGCAGUGGUCUUUACCCUUCAUUGUCUUCGGAGCCACAGGGCUGACCUCAGGCCUCCUGAGUUUAUUAUUGCCAGAAACCCUUAACAGCCCAUUGCUGGAGACAUUUUCUGACCUUCAAGUAUACUCAUAUCGGAGGCUAGGGGAGGAAGCAUUAUCCUUACAGACCUUGGAUCCCCCUCAGUCUGUGGACAAGGAGAGCCCUUUAGGGAGCGAGAGUGACGAAGAGGAAGAGUUUUACGAUGCGGAUGAGGAGACUCAGAUGAUCAAGUGAGGAGACUCAGAUGAUCAAGUGAGGAGCCCCAGGUUCCUCCUCAGAAGCAGAGGGUCAUCUUCCAUGCCUCUGUCAAGCGCAGGUGCUCCUGGGAAAUUGCAGAGAGCUAUGGAAAGAAAGGCUUGAACAAACAGAAGGUACUCAGAGUGGCCUGAUGUUUUAUAGGCACCCAAGGAAGUUGGAGAAGAGAUUUCCAUGAACAGGACAUCACUGCUUUGAGUGAAAAGCUAUUAACUUGCCUACAGUUGAGAUAUAGUGCAGAAUCAUGACCUUUGGCCAGAUUGCUCAAUUCUGCAUGCCAGAGUGGUAAGCUCAGUUGUUUCUAGAAGUUUGAUUAUGUUGCCGUUCAACUUCAUUGUGACCUAAAGGCAAAUAUGUAAAAUUUCUUCUCACCAUUAAGAUGGAAUCUGUGUACCAGAUUUGACAUCUGCCUGUCUCGAUUGCUCCUCACCAAGAAUCUUUGGAGGCAAGUUGAUGUUAGCAUUCCAUUCAUUUUUGUGCCAGAAGAAAAGCAUUGAGAGAUCGUUUGUGUGACCUGAGGCCCUCCAGCUUUACCCCAAGAGAUGAAAUCUGGGCCCACAGCUUGGCCCCUGGUUCAGUGACUGGUUCCAGCUCCUCCUGUUAGUCCGACAGAUGACCCACUAGAAAAAUCCAGCUGCACCAAAGUAAUGUUCAGAGUCCAAGGUGUGGCUGCACCCCCGCCCCCCACCCCCAGCAGCUCCCUCUGAUACUCAAAUUUCCAUCUCAGAUUCUAGACCAGCAAAACUUCCAAACAUGCCCAGUAAAUGAUGACGUUUUAUAGAGGGGAAGGGCAGUUAAAAAGUGACAUGUUGAGCCCUUUUGUUGAGCCCUUGGAUGUUUGAAGGGGAGAAAACAGAUGCCAUUUUCAAUAAGGAAGAAAAGAAAAUUACCUUUCCCAAUUUUCUGUUUGCUUUGUCUUCAGUGUUGUGCAAGGAGGAACUUGGGCAACCUUUAAGGACUGGAACUCACUUAGUCCUAGGUCAGUCCCAGCCUGUUUAGUUUAGCUAGAAUGGAAGGCACAGGAGUUUCCUAGGAAAUGUUGGUUUUUGUUAAAUACCACCAGCUUUCAAAUAAAAUCAGUCGUACUCUGCUUCCUCAAAUCAUGUGCCGGAAGUGUUUCCUGUGAACUCCAGUGUUAUCUCAAAAAGAAGUGUUAUCUUGGAGUCAACAAGCUUGGACAGCAUUGCUUUAGGUCAGUUUCCCAACUGGGACCGUUUCCGUGUUUUCAGAAUUUCCAUUUCUGCUAAUCUCUUGGAGAAAAAGAAAUUUCAUUAGAAAUAGAAGUCAUCACUGUGUCUGUGUCUGGAAAUCUUGGAGGACUCACCUCGAAUCGGCUCCAACCCUCUCCUGUCUUCUUCCACUUACUUCUUGGUUUAUACUAUACUAGCCUGUACCUUUGCAUUUGUUACAGUGUUUUAUAUCCUUCAUGCCCUUAUGUAUUGGGCUUUUUAUAAAUAGGAAGCAUCUCUACUACUGUUUAUUUCUCUCCACUGUGCCCAGAACACACUAUGUAUUGCUGUUUCUAGCCAUCAAGGAAGUUGUAGAACUCCUGCCAGUAUCGCUUUUGUCCAUCACAGGCAAAUCUGCCCCAAACCCCCAGACUGUGGAAUCUUGGCAUCUUUCUCUGGGAGAUGGAGACCCUGCCCACCAUCAAGAGAAGAAGAAAGGAAGAACUUACAAGGACACUUAGAAGCUCUUUGUUGUGAUGUUAAAUGGAAAACAACAAGCUAACGUUUGGUCGUUCUUGGCUGGUUGUCAGCCUCUUUGCAUUAUAAGAGUAGUGACCCCAUUAUCAAAAAGUGCGGAAUCGAGAAGGUAAAAAAAUGUAGACUCAACACCCAGAGUCAGCCAGUGUUGUGGCUUUGUUCUCUUUGAAGACCAACUGGUAACCCAUCUUUUUUGUUGGCACUGGGGUUCCCUCUGCCUCUGACUAGAUAAAUAAGGAUUCCAUUAGUUCUGUCCCUGAGUAUUCUCUUUUUCCAACUCUAGAUAGAAGAAGGGAGGGAAGGAAACACAGUUUGAACACAUGUUGCUAAGGCUGGACUACCAGCUGCUCGUGUCAGGUGUGUGUCACUAGAUUUCUUUAGUGCUUCUUUCUUGAUGGUCUUUUGGCAACGUUUAAUAAUUUGCCUUUUAUAAAAACAGAUUUUUUUUUUCCUUUUGGUGUUAACUGUUGAAAAAUAGUGAUUGUGGAGAUUGUGCACAUGAGUACAUUUGUGUUGAUUAAAUUAUUGGAAAACUCUUAAUUUAUAGAUAACAUACGUUGUUUGUUCAGAUGAUUUGUAAAAGGUUUCCUUUUAAAUGUCUGUAUUGUAUUCAAAAUUAAAUUUCUUUUCUCCAGAAAAACAACAAGAAAAAUGUAAGACACAUGAGAAAUCCCAGGGCUUCCAGCGUCUAAGGUCUUAUCAACAGCUUGUCCAGAACUUAAGCACCACACAGAUGUCUUGAAAGAAACUGUGCUAUAGUUUUCUGAUCAGUGGGUUAAAAACCACUGCCCAUUGAAAAUGCAGUAUCUGUCAUUUGGCUGUUUUCAAGUGAUAACAGACAUUCUUUAGUAUCUAAAAAUAAAGAAAAAAACACAAAUACAAUAAGUAAGAAGCAAAUAAAUGUUCCUGGGACACUGCCCAAGUAAAUUUGAUCCGGACAAGUAUUUUUAUAGAGGUCAAAUUGAUAAAGAUACUUCUAAUAGAUUUAUAUUCUUAACAAAAACAUUGCAAUAAUUCUCUCUACUAAACCAGAAUUAAAAUGCAGCUUUCUAAUAGAAUUGACUCCUCCAUUACAAUUUUUUAUUAGCUCAUUAGUUCUUAAAUUGGACAUCUAUAUUUUUUAUUAGAUAAUUAGUUCUUAAAUUGGACAUCUAUAAAGGAUUUUUUUCAGUAAAUAAAAUGCAGUGUUUUUGGCUUCUUGUGAAUUUGAUAGAGAAUUGUAAAACAUAGGCUUUUUCUUUUGUUCUUACAGAAUAUGUCAGGGUGUAUACAGUAGCAUCUUUGACAAAUGGAACAAAUAUAGAAUAUGCUAGAAACUAUGGGUGGUUUGUGGGACAGGGGCUAUAGCAAGUUUAAGGAGUUGGUGGAAACAGAAGAUAACUGUAAAAAUAUAUCUAGGAGAAAAAUGCAAAGAUAGGGCAUGGUUAGAAAAUUUAUCUGUGUAAUAUAUUAGACCUUAUGGUUAUCUCAAUAGAUGUUCUUAGUUGCUCA
This is an RNA transcript of Bubalus bubalis (water buffalo), 5444 nucleotides long. It is a transcript of the gene named solute carrier family 22 member 15, with no coding region annotated. Lineage: Eukaryota; Metazoa; Chordata; Mammalia; Artiodactyla; Bovidae. The transcript is spliced from 12 exons. The record is from RefSeq and is a predicted model, not a curated record.